This 465-nucleotide ribosomal RNA is filed under the name Vreelandella stevensii. RNAcentral's name for it is "partial 16S ribosomal RNA". It matches the Rfam family "Bacterial small subunit ribosomal RNA", at positions 338 to 795 of the family's 1533-position model. Lineage: Bacteria; Pseudomonadati; Pseudomonadota; Gammaproteobacteria; Oceanospirillales; Halomonadaceae. The record is from RNAcentral.
CCUACGGGGGGCAGCAGUGGGGAAUAUUGGACAAUGGGCGAAAGCCUGAUCCAGCCAUGCCGCGUGUGUGAAGAAGGCCUUCGGGUUGUAAAGCACUUUCAGUGGGGAAGAAAGCCUUGGGGCUAAUACCCUCGAGGAAGGACAUCACCCACAGAAGAAGCACCGGCUAACUCCGUGCCAGCAGCCGCGGUAAUACGGAGGGUGCGAGCGUUAAUCGGAAUUACUGGGCGUAAAGCGCGCGUAGGCGGUCUGAUAAGCCGGUUGUGAAAGCCCCGGGCUCAACCUGGGAACGGCAUCCGGAACUGUCAGGCUAGAGUGCAGGAGAGGAAGGUAGAAUUCCCGGUGUAGCGGUGAAAUGCGUAGAGAUCGGGAGGAAUACCAGUGGCGAAGGCAGCCUUCUGGACUGACACUGACGCUGAGGUGCGAAAGCGUGGGUAGCAAACAGGAUUAGAUACCCUUGUAGUC